CCCGGUAUGGGGAAAGUUUAAGGCGGAAGAGCCCUCGUUUGUCGGCUGCUUGGGAAGUCUGAGGAUUACUGGGACUAACAGGACUUCAGCUGGGGCUUCAACGUGUGGUGUGGGCUUCCUGACACCACGGCCACUGGUUUCCAAGAGUUUCAACAAUAUUUUCAUCAUAUUUAUUGAAGGCCUCACUGACAGACUUCUCAAGGCCCCUCUACCUUCUAUUCGCUGCCUGGCCCCAAAGCCAGUGCCACACAUUUUAGGUUUUUAACUGCAGCAGCACCUAUGAUGUUUCCAAAAUCUGUAUCAUUAAAGUUUGAUCAGAGAAGCAAAACCACCUUGAGCAAAACAAGGAAUUUAUUAAAGAGAUUAGGAUACACAUUGUUAUGAAAGCUGCAACCUGCUGCCCCUGUGUCCAGAAGUGGGCCUGAAGUCAGCAGGGCUGGCAAAUGGAUGUGCAGUGGGAGAGAGUAGGCGUGAGCUGCACCUGCAGGGAGGAGAUGGAACUCCUGUGGAUGGACUGAAACUGAUGUCUUCCACGUCAGCCUCUCAGGCCUCCAACACUCCAGCGCUGAUGAUGAAGAUGACCUGCAGAGGAGCUGGUGCCCUUCACCAUGGAAUUGCUCAUAAACCCAAGAUUCAGUGAAGCUGAAGAAGCAGUUCUGGUGGGAGCUGGAGGAACUGCAGGCACAGCUGCUGCCCUGUACCAAUACAUUGAGCCAGUGGCUGCCUGGCAUUGUGUGUGAGCCACCACAGCGCCUGGCCCUACACAGACUUUGACUGUAAAUAUGACUGCUGUUUCACUUCUGCCUUCCAAAUUUUGCUCAGAUUUUCUGAGAAACAUAGUUCAGCUUAGGUACAUUGACACAGUACAAAGCCACCGCAGUGGCUGGUUAGGGAGGGAUUAUGAAUGCAGGCUGAGAAUGCACGGGAAGCGUUUGUCUAUUUAUAGAGUAGGUACCAUUCAAGGAUUUAUGUGAAUCAGGUGCAAAGAACUCACACAAAGAUGGGGAAAGUUAGUACUUAGAAAUCAGUGAUACUAGAUAACCAAUAAAUAAAAAUAAACUUAUUUUUAGAAAAUAAGAAAAUAGAAAAGCUUUAAUAAAAUAGUAUUGGGCCGGGUGCAGUGGCUCACGCCUGUAAUCCUAGCACUUUGGGAGACUGAGGUGGGCGGAUCACCUGAGGUCAGGAGUUCCAGACCAGCCUGGCCAACAUGGUGAAACCCAAUCUCUACUAGAAAAAACCACAAAAAUUAGCUGGGCGUGGUGGUACGUGCCUGUAAUCCUAGCUCCUCGGGAAGCUGAGGCAGG
This 1304-nucleotide long non-coding RNA is filed under the name Homo sapiens (human). RNAcentral's name for it is "non-protein coding LINC02427:12". Lineage: Eukaryota; Metazoa; Chordata; Mammalia; Primates; Hominidae. The record is from RNAcentral.